Non-coding RNA from Mycena polygramma, 98 nucleotides. Lineage: Eukaryota; Fungi; Basidiomycota; Agaricomycetes; Agaricales; Mycenaceae. The record is from the annotation of a GenBank genome assembly.
GCACCGGUGGUGUACGGAACACGCAUCGACCUGAUGCCAGGUCCUGCGACUCAUGAAUGGUUCGAUGGUGAGACGGGGUUCGAUUCCCCGCCGGUGCG